Zonotrichia leucophrys gambelii is the source of this 3966-nucleotide long non-coding RNA. RefSeq lists it as uncharacterized. The record is from RefSeq and is a predicted model, not a curated record. NCBI's taxonomy places the organism in Eukaryota, Metazoa, Chordata, Aves, Passeriformes, Passerellidae. The transcript is spliced from 8 exons.
UGAGGGGGCGCUGCGGGAGAGCGCGGUGGGCCCGGGGCGUGAGGGGAGCGUGGUGCGGGAUGUCACGGAGAUGUACGGGGGUAGUACAUGGCGUGAAGAGCGGGUCAGGCUGUGCGGGAGCGGUGCGGGAUGUCACGGAGAUGUACGGGGGUAGUACAUGGCGUGCAGAGCGGGUCAGGCGGUGCGGGGUGUGGGGGGAGUCGCGGGAUGUCACGGGGGUGUAGGGGGUACUACAUGGCGUGCGGAGCGGUGCGGGGUGUGCAGAGCGGGUCGGGCUGUACGGGGUGUGCGGGAUAUCACAGGGGUAUACGGGGGUAGUACAUGGCCUGCGGGAUAUCACAGGGGUGUACGAGGGUAGUACAUGGCGUGCGGAGCGGCUCAGAAUGUGCGGGGCCGGUGCAGGAUGUGCGGGAUGUCACAGGGAUAACGGGGGUAGUACAUGGCGUGCGGAGCGGGGCCGGUGCAGGGUGUGCGGGCUGUCGCAGAGUGUACGGGGUAGUACAUGGCGUGUGGAGCGGUUCAGGCAAUGCGGGGGUGGCACAGGGCAGUGCGGGGGCAGGGCACAGCCGUCGCUGGCGGAGGUUGGUGCCGGUGCGGGGGAACGGGGCACUGCCGAGCCCUGUGUUAGCGCCGGCUCCGUUCCGGGGCAGCACCGGCGCCCUGCGCACCGCGCUGGAACGGCCUUUAGAGCCCGGCCCAUCCCUCCCCUCUGCUCUGGAACUGGCAGCGGUGACACCUGGCAGUCCCUCCUCUCACCUCCCGUGCGUGUGACAGCACCGACCUCUCUUCCUGAGUGCAGCCCAUGAGUCCCUGGGCUGGAGAAAGCCGAAAUUUGGCCAUCCUGCAUCUUCGGAGUACAAACAUACCCAGUCCAGACUCAGAAUGAGCUGCAGCAACUGGAUAAAUCUACUGGGACCAUGAAGAAUUCAAGUGGUUAAUUUGGGUUAAAAGUCUCUCUGCAGGUGGAAUGCCUCCUGUCCCUCAAGUGGCUCAGCAGAUCAGCCAGGAGGAAAACCAACAGCAAAAUGGACCAAAUUUGUCAAAUCUGCUUAAUUCCUUACACAGCAGGAACCCAGCUCUGCCCCAGCAGGUACAACCAGCAGGAUGGGAUAAGAACCAUGUGCUUGUGCUCCCAGCUCCAGUUCCUCACAACAACAGGAAAAGGAAAUUCUGCAGCAGACUGCAGCACUGAGGAAAGAAAGUUUAUGAUCUCUGAAACCUCUGCUCAAAUUCCAUGAGGCCCCACAGCACAAAUCACACCAUGAUUUAUCUUUUGGAGGAAAUGAGCAGUGGAUGGCAACAGAUUUUUUUCAAGAAAGAAGACAAAAGAUGAUAACAACCAAGAGAGUAAUGUGAAUAUGAUAUUUUAAAUAAAUAAUAGGCAGCAUUUACAUGGUUAGGAUGUGAUCACUGGGGAUCUGGGAUAGAUAGUUUGGGGUUGCCUCUCCACUUUUGUAAAUUUUAAACAGUACUCCUAAAGGGCUUGUAAUUAUUUUCUUUCUUUAGAAAUGUGCUCUUUAGAUAGAAUUGAGUAAAAACUUAAAAUAAUUUUAUGGUUUUAUUUUAGGGUUAAUGUGUCAAGGGGGUCUGGAAUGCCAGUUCUAUGAAGAUAAAUAUUUUAAUUACAAGCAGUGAAUGAACUGCAGAGCUUGUCAUUGGAGGGUGCUGCCCUGUUUGUGACUCCUGGUAACAUGAGCACAGUGCUCUAUUUCCAUGGUGUGGGCUCUUGGAACCUUUUAAAGUAACAGCAGCUGCUCUGCAGUGUCACAUGACACGUGGCUCUUCAGUUCCACUUUAAUUCUGCCAUCAGCUGGGAGCUUUUUCAUCAUUCUCACAUACUGUGCUAUAUUACUAUUAUUUUCUUAAACUGCAGCUGAAGAGUAAUAAAAUAUUUCUUUAUUUUGUGAGGUUUUUUCUUUUACUGUAAUUUAAGCACACAGACUGGUCUCUAUUUGAUGUGAUUGGGAUGGAAAACCAAAUCACUUGCUAUGAAGCACAAAUGCUGCCAAAACUGAAGGUAACUGGAAAGUUUAUGGAAGAGAUCUCCUGCUCCCCUUCAUCACCCAGAAUUGAGCCAGUGAAGCUCCAGCCAAACAGAGACCUGUGUUUGUUCCCAGCUGUAGCUGUUGCUCCUCCCUGUUUGUAUGGGGCAAAUCCUUCUUACCCAUGGACCCAUGGAAUGCAACCCCUGCAGUUCAGUCUGGAGGAGCAGAGAUGGUGCAGGUACUGAUGAUUCAGGAAUUUAUAAAAAGCUUCAACCAAGACAAGUGAUCCUUCUGUGCUGUCCUGUCUUCCCCCACUCCCUGCACAGGUGUCAGUCACACAGAUGUGAUUCCUCUUGUCUUCUGUGACACUGAUGGACACAGAGAUGGGAUGAUGUGACAGAAGUGCAAGAGGCAGAGAUACCCACACAUACAGGUUUGCAGGUAAUUCUAUUGAAGAGAGGCUGUUGAAAGAGUAUUAAACAUGAGUCAACAACUGGCUGCUCAGGGAGGGGAUUGUUCAACAGACUUUUUAUCCCAGGCUUGAUUGGGAACCAGUGAUGUGUGUUCACAGUUAAAUUGAGUAGAAAUCCUGAACUGUCAGCUCAUAUAGAAAAUCAGAAGGUCUUGGAUCCUAUCAGUGGUGUGGUUAACUCUUGCAACAAUGUUUAUCACUCCCCAAAGCAACACCAAAAUUGUUACAUAAAAACCAUUGCAGGUCCAGAGGGAAAGGAGAGUUUAAGUUGAAACUCGCAUUGUGAGGACUUGGGGAGUUUUGGGGUCCUUUUUGUUGAUUUUUUUUUUCCUUUUAAUUCCUUAUUGCUGUUAGAGUACUAUGGGAGUUUUGACUAAGCAAAAACAUAACUAGAUUUUAGAAUUUUGUAUAGCUUGGUAUACAAACAAAUGCUAGUAAAUACCUUUUCCUAACAGUAUGACUAAUAUAGGUUAUAUUUAUUUCAUUUCCAUACACUUAGGAAUAUGAAUUUCCCCAAUGUUAUGAUAAUAUGACCUUGGAUGUAUCAUUUUGCACUACCAGUAUGUUAAAAAUAAGGGAGAGGAGACGUUUAUUUUAAGUAGUAGGAUAUGAAUUGUCUUCACUCAAGACUAUUGAUAACUAUGAAUUUUGAGAGUGGGCACUUUUGAUUAGGUGUUUUUGAUACCUAAGCCUUCACUUUGUAUUUAUUCCAGAAUGUAGAUGGUCAGCCUCUUUGUGUUAGACAAGCCUGUGCAAACCACCAGAAUUCUGAGUGUAUUCAAAUCUGUAUAAAUCGCUUUGAGUUGAUGACAAUGACUACUAGAAAAAGAAGUUCCUCAACUAGAUUUCUCUAAGUUUACUUUUACUGUCAAUAUUUUCCUCAGAUUUAAUAGUAAAUCACUGGUGGCCUGAUUGGUGAAUUUGUUUUUUCUCUUAAACACGAAUGUAUUUCACGGGGAUCUUUUCUUAUCAAAGGCUCUGUGAUAAUCUUUAGCCUUAAGGUAAAACAGUGUUUACUAUCCAAGAAUCAAAUCUGUGUUUGUGCUGAUGUAAAGAAAAGCCUGAAGUGCGGCUCCAUCUGAUGUACCCAAGUCCUUCCUCAUGGCCGGGUGGACCCUCCUGAGCAUCAAUGAGUGCGCGUUGUGUCACCUGGCACCACCGAGCAGAGCCGGCCGUGCUCCGAGUCUCUGCAGACCCUGACAGACGGGGAUGGAUGGGGUUCCCUGUCAGCUCGAGGCUGAACAGCUCCGGCUCCCUCAGCCUUUUCCCUUCGGAGAUGCUCCAGCCGCUCGAUCUCCGUUGUUCCCCGGCCGGCCCCGCUCCGCCCGCUCCCAGCCUCUCCUGCCCUGGGGACUCAAGACCCGCCAGCUGCAAGUGCGGCUUUUCACACCGUGUAUUGAAGAGUAGCGACAGCCCCGCUCCGUGCGCGGAUAGAGACUGCCCUUUGCUCGGUGCUACAAUAAAUAUCAUUUAUCCGCGCUGUCGCCGAGCCCGUUCCUAUCGCGACAG